RNAcentral lists this transfer RNA (29 nucleotides) under Antilophia galeata (helmeted manakin). Its description in RNAcentral is "partial tRNA-Met". The record is from RNAcentral. RNAcentral also lists the same sequence under 2 other names. Lineage: Eukaryota; Metazoa; Chordata; Aves; Passeriformes; Pipridae.
AAAUGAUGGUUCAACUCCUUCCCUUACUA